RNAcentral lists this ribosomal RNA (598 nucleotides) under uncultured fungus. Its description in RNAcentral is "eukaryotic LSU rRNA". The stretch from base 195 to 348 matches the Rfam family "5.8S ribosomal RNA". Lineage: Eukaryota; Fungi. The record is from RNAcentral.
AGUAAAAGUCGUAACAAGGUUUCCGUAGGUGAACCUGCGGAAGGAUCAUUACAUUCAGUAGCCUAGCUACUUGUUUUUACACCCUUGUUUUUUGCGUACCUAUUGUUUCCUCGGCGGGCUUGCUCGCCGGUUGGACAAAACUUAUAACCUUUUUUAAAUCUUCAAUCAGCGUCUGAAUUAUACAUAAUAAUUACAACUUUCAACAACGGAUCUCUUGGUUCUGGCAUCGAUGAAGAACGCAGCGAAAUGCGAUAAGUAGUGUGAAUUGCAGAAUUCAGUGAAUCAUCGAAUCUUUGAACGCACAUUGCGCCCCUUGGUAUUCCAUGGGGCAUGCCUGUUCGAGCGUCAUUUGUACCUUCAAGCUCUGCUUGGUGUUGGGCGUAUUGUCAAAUCCUCAGCGGUUAGACUCGCCUUAAAGUAAUUGGCAGCCAGUGUUUUUGGUAGUAAGCGCAGCACAUUUUGCGUCUUAGUCCGUCAACGGUGGCAUCCACAAAGCCUCUUUCUCACUUUUGACCUCGGAUCAGGUAGGGAUACCCGCUGAACUUAAGCAUAUCAAUAAGCGGAGGAAAAGAAACCAACAGGGAUUGCCUCAGUAACG